RNAcentral lists this ribosomal RNA (513 nucleotides) under uncultured bacterium. Its description in RNAcentral is "bacterial SSU rRNA". It matches the Rfam family "Bacterial small subunit ribosomal RNA", at positions 8 to 521 of the family's 1533-position model. The record is from RNAcentral.
AGAGUUUGAUCCUGGCUCAGGAUGAACGCUGGCGGCGUGCCUAACACAUGCAAGUCGAACGAAGCAUCAUAAAGGAAGUUUACGGAUGGAAUUUAAGAUGACUGAGUGGCGGACGGGUGAGUAACGCGUGGAUAACCUGCCUCAUACAGGGGGAUAACAGCUAGAAAUGGCUGCUAAUACCGCAUAAGCGCACAGUGCCGCAUGGCAGAGUGUGAAAAACUCCGGUGGUAUGAGAUGGAUCCGCGUCUGAUUAGCCAGUUGGCGGGGUAACGGCCCACCAAAGCGACGAUCAGUAGCCGGCCUGAGAGGGCGACCGGCCACAUUGGGACUGAGACACGGCCCAAACUCCUACGGGAGGCAGCAGUGGGGGAUAUUGCACAAUGGGGGAAACCCUGAUGCAGCGACGCCGCGUGAGUGAAGAAGUAUUUCGGUAUGUAAAGCUCUAUCAGCAGGGAAGAAAAUGACGGUACCUGACUAAGAAGCCCCGGCUAACUACGUGCCAGCAGCCGCGGU